ACUUGAUAUAUACCGUAGCUUCAAUUUGAUAUAUAUUAGAUAUAUUAAAAAACGUAUCUUUCUUCCCCAAAAGCAACCCGAUAAAAUUCCUGAAACAAACCUAAUUAAAAAACCUCUCUUUCUUCCCCAAAAGCAAACCCGUUAAAACUCCUCAAAAAAAUAUUUUGCUAGCAGACUAAAGAAUCAACGAAGAAACAACAAAUCAAGCAAAACAACGCUGACCCAAGCACGACCAUGGGUGUUCCUCUCUCAAACGCAGAACCAAGCUCGACCAUGGGUGCCAAUGUUUUCAAUCUUCGACCCGGCCGCCAUAUCAGAUCAUUCUCUCUAGGUUUUGUAAGAAAAUAUUGUGGAUAUGAAUGGGUUUUGUAGUGGAGAUAGUAUUGAAGAGCCUCCCAACCCUCAAAAUCUGACAACAAUCAUACAGGAAGGGGUUACUUAGUAUGUGGUUUGACCUAUAAAACUUCAAUGCUGCUAUAUCCUCCUCCUCUCAGGUUCUCACAUUUUCUUAUUUAGUAUUUUAAUUCCUUUUUCUAUUUGGUUGGAGAUUUGUACUUUUCUUUAUUUUUUUUGUUAUUAUUAGUAGCCUUGGUUGGAGUUUCUUAAUUCCUAUAAGAUAUUGUUUGAAAUACAAAGUGUUUUGGCUGAAUUAUUAUGUAAGCAUCCAAAUAAGAAGUUGUAUAACUGACUGGAAACUCAGAUUCAGUUUGUUAUUUUCUAUUUGAUUAUUGAAUUCCCUGUAGAUUUUUUGUUUGGGGUAGGGUUGGAGUAGACUAUGUGUAUCUGUGGGAGUCUUUUUUAUAUCAUUAUUGGUUUAUUAAGUUUAA
Molecule: long non-coding RNA, 827 nt
Organism: Quercus robur (English oak)
Lineage: Eukaryota; Viridiplantae; Streptophyta; Magnoliopsida; Fagales; Fagaceae
Exons: 3
Source: RefSeq, a predicted model, not a curated record